GCCUGGCUGGCUCAGUUGGUUGAGCAUCUGACUUCAGCUCAGGUCAUGAUCUCAAGGUCUGUGAGUUCAAGCCCCUCAUCGGGCU
This 85-nucleotide transfer RNA is filed under the name Felis catus (domestic cat). It matches the Rfam family "tRNA". From Rfam's summary of the family: Transfer RNA (tRNA) molecules are approximately 80 nucleotides in length. Their secondary structure includes four short double-helical elements and three loops (D, anti-codon, and T loops). The record is from Rfam by way of RNAcentral. Lineage: Eukaryota; Metazoa; Chordata; Mammalia; Carnivora; Felidae.